Molecule: transfer RNA, 87 nt
Filed under: Chitinispirillales bacterium
Lineage: Bacteria; Pseudomonadati; Fibrobacterota; Chitinispirillia; Chitinispirillales
Description: tRNA-Ser
Rfam family: tRNA
About the family: Transfer RNA (tRNA) molecules are approximately 80 nucleotides in length. Their secondary structure includes four short double-helical elements and three loops (D, anti-codon, and T loops).
Source: RNAcentral
GGAGAGGUGCCCGAGCGGUUGAAGGGGCACGCCUGGAAAGCGUGUGUACGGGUAACCGUACCCAGGGUUCAAAUCCCUGCCUCUCCG